Molecule: long non-coding RNA, 4220 nt
Organism: Neofelis nebulosa (Clouded leopard)
Lineage: Eukaryota; Metazoa; Chordata; Mammalia; Carnivora; Felidae
Exons: 2
Source: RefSeq, a predicted model, not a curated record
AGCGGGCGGCCACGAGGGGUCUGCGGCGCUGCGGUGGCGGCGGCGCUCCGGGAUCCGGUCCGCCCGAGCACGUGCACUAACUUUAACGGAUGCACUGGAACUUUUUCCAGCGCUGGGCUUGCGGUCUAGAAAUAACACUCAAAUAAAUGUUCCCUGUCCCCCUCCGUUCAGCCGCCAACUUUAGGACAUUCACCAAGGCACUGCAAACACGAAAAGAACCUCAGUACUCGGUAGCAUGAAUUCUGUGCGGCCACACCUUUAAAAGCCGUACGUAUUUUUCAUCCAACGUAACUCAGAACCGUCAAUUCUACCAUCAAAAUUCCUGCUUGGUCCGGCAAAUAUACUGGUCUCAAACGAAAGGAUCCUCAUCGGGGAAUAAUAGAAAAUUGAGGCCAGAAAUGAAUGCGCGACAGCAACCAUUUUUGCUCUGGUGUUCCCAGCAUCACAGGGUGUGUGAUAGGAGAUGAGAAAUUUGCUGUCAACCCUUGCGGCUACCUGUCCACUCAGAAGCAAUAAUCCCGAAAGGCAAGGGAGUGAAGUGCCACUGGAUUAAGCCCUUGCUUUCACACCAAGAAUGUGCUGACUGGAUCCGUACAAACUCCUUUCUAUGGACAGGAGAUCUAGGCUCCAAGACCGGCCUGACUUAUCCAAUAGAGGGGGCCCUCGGGUGGCAGCCGGCUUCGCUCUAAGAUCUCGGCUCUGUUAUACCUCAUUGCCUCCCAAAGGGAAAUCAAGUUCGCUUACAAAGCCUUCAGCAAUGAGAGGUGUCCAGUGGAAUGGAGGCUGGAAAGGUGGUAGCCCCUAGAAGGAGGGCCUGCUGGAGAGACCCUUAAUAGGACAACGGAAAGGUGCAGGAGCAUUGGAAGUGGAACGCAUAGAGGAGUCUUGCCUGGCAGGGUUGGCGUGGGCCUAGGACGAAGACCAGGAGUGGGAGAUGACAGCAGGGGAGGGAGAACCCAUACCAGGCGGGAGUAGAAAAGCCCCUUCAGGCAUAGCUAUCUGAAAGUGAAAUACAAGGGGACCCUUGUAAAAUACUAUGUCAUGAAACUAGGUGCUGAGGGCUGGUCCGGGAUACAGAAGGGGGGAUUGCAUGCCUUUUGAAAAUGUUUUUUGACCACUACAAUUGCUCCCAUGUGGAUAAACGUGUUCCAUUAAUUUUAAUUAUUCCAGCACCUGUCAUAUUACUAGAGAAACAGAGACAUGGAUGCAGAGAGAGAAGUAAAAGAAAAAAAAAAAAAAAACAAACACGAUCAUGUGAAGGGAAAACACUUCUCACAGAUGGAUACCACACCCUUCCGGAACGCAACUAUCCAGCAAAAACACGUUUGUGGGGGUCCACAGCCAAGGACCAGAAAGAAGCUAGAUCUUACAGCCUACUUACUGUUACACAUAAUUCUCUCUCUCUCUCUCUCUCUCUUUAGGAUUUGUUUUAUUUUUAGAGAGAGCGAGCAGGGGAGAGGGGCAGAGGGAGAGAGAGAGAAUCUUAAGCAGGCUCCAUGCUCAGCACGGAGCCCGAUGUGGGGCUCAAUCCCAGGACCCUGGGAUCACGACCUGAGCCAAAAUCAAGAAUCAGGUGGUCAACCGAUUGAGCCACCCAGGCGCCCCGUCUUAUAUAUAAUUCUAGCAAGCUUAGAAAUCUGUUUUCAGAGUACCCACAGCAAAGAGGAAGCAGCAAAUAAUGACCUACAGAGAGGCUGAUGGAGCUUCCUUGUCGUACUGCAGUAAGUCUGUUAAACAGAAAUGGGGACAUAAAAAUGAUAAAGCCAAACCAUAAGAACACAAUAAACACAAGAAAUCUUCAGUAUACGGCAAACUGCCUCCCACUACGCCUUAAGGCUAUCACCAUAUUAUGCAUAAUACAACAAUAUAUGUUCACUGAUGUCCCCAAGUUGUCCAGAAAUGAUUAAAUUAUAUUCACAAGAGUAAGAAGGAAAGAAGUACAUAGUUUAUGUUGGAAAGAUUUCCCGCAUGAUAGCGUACGAAAGCUGGUGUGGUAGUCUCGGCUAUCCCUAUGGCUUUGAUGGUACUUCCCUGUCUCUUCAUGCUUUCAUUGGACAGACUGUUGAUUGAGCACAUUGGAGAAAUGGCUCUGAGAGGCAAGGUUCCUGCUGUCAAUGGAGUUCACAGUCUCACCUGCUCAGGACCCAUAGGUCUACCUGGAGAGCCUGCACCAGUGUUUGGACUUUUGUGGUCAGUGCUAGGAACUGGGUCUGAAAGAAGUUUUAACCUGGUUUUGGAUCUGAGCAAACGAAAUUGGCCCGAGGCUUUGAUCAAACAGUUAGGAAUCAGGGAGUAGUCAACACCUGAAGAAUCAGUACCCAUGACCAAGGCAUGCGACUUUGCCUGCACAAAAAUGUAACAAUAUGAAAGGACCGCGGAACUACACUUCCUGAAUUUGCCGACUCUUUCUCCUUGUUGAGGAAAUUAAUUCUGACACUCAUACAUUCUUAUAUUUAGGCUAUAACAUCCUAUAGCUGAAUCACUUUAUGGUUAAUCAACGCAUGUAAGAAUGGGAUGUGUAUAUUCAUUUAAGGAAAAACCUUAGAGAUCUUGAUAUUGUUUGAAAAAUCUACCUGAUUACAAAAGCCACAACUUCAUCAGAAAACCCAGACACAAUAAAAUGACUUUUCAUUUUCUUAUUGUUUUAGGAACCCACAAAUUUCUUUCCCCUCUUGAGGGCAAACCUUAAAAACUGGAAAUCUUUGUUUUCAUGAGCUCUUUCUUGGGAGAAAACAUGUAACCAAAAAUUUGCUCUUCUGGGUGCAAAGCCUACAGACGGAGUACAGCAAAGGAAAGCAUAUAUUUAAACAUUUUUUUAAAUGUGUUUAUUUAUUUUUGAGACAGAGAGAGACAGAGCAUGAGGAGGGGAGGGGCAGAGAGAAAGGGGGACACAGAAUCCAAAGCAGGCUCCAGGCUCUGAGCUGUCAGCACAGAGCCCAACACGGGGCUCGAACCCACAGACUGUGAGAUCAUGACCUGAGCCGAAGUCGGACGCUCAACCGACUGAGCCACCCAGGCGCCCCAGGAAAGCAUACAUUUUAAAAUUGGGCAUGUCUUGGUUCAAAUCCAGUCUCUUCUACCUACCAGGUGUGUGUGACAAUGGACAACUGAUUUUUUCCAGGCCUCUACUUGCUUAACAGUAAAACAAUGUCAGGAGAAUCCACCCCACUGGCUAUUGUAAAAACUAAAUGAAAUGUGCCUGAGCAGUUGUAGAGUAAGCUCUCAGUACAUCGCUCAUUACAAUGCAGGUGAAUGCACUAAAUUUUCACACAGCCUCCAUAUCCCUGCACUUUGCAGACUGGAAUGAUAGCACAGGGUAGCUCACACUGGAGGUGCUUCUAGGUUGGACAUGAGCGGCUGCUUUUUCCUUGGAAGAGAGGCUCACCUUCCCCUAAGGCUGGGCUUCCUAGUAAGCUUGAGGUUACCAAGGAACAACAACAAAAUAAAAGGGCAGAAGGAAGGCAGGAGUCUGCCCUUGAGAGGGGCUUGCUUGCCAUUUUUUCCUUAAGAAACGGGUGAGCCACUCCAUGGCGUGUUCAAACACCUUCUAGCAUAGCUGGUCCCAGAUGUCAGAUGGGGUUUGGAAAGAGGAAGUUUCAACAUCGAGUGCUUUGGCAGACACUCACGAGUUAUUCAAAAUAAGCUCUACGAUGCUGAUGGGUUAAGAUGGAGUGAGAGAUUUCUCCAUGGCAGGCCCAGACCUAAGUGCUGUACUGGUUUGCUGCGCUGGUGUGUGGGGAACCGAGGGCCCUCUGAGGGCCUCGCCCAUGUUUAUCAGCAUCCUGAAAGGCAGUCUCUGCCUCUGAACCCCACCAUGCUCUGGGCCUUUAUAUCUCCAUUCAAUGGCUGAGAUCGUCCUUGCGUACUUGGGUGGAUUGAUGUUAUUUCUAAAGCAUGCAAUUCAUUUCAAGAGGGGAGAGGAAGGAUUAAGUUGGAAAUAUUUUUGUAUUGAGAAGAAAAAUUAAAUGUAAGUGGAAAUGUUUUCAUGAAAAUGUUUUUAUAUUUCAACAUUUCCCCGAAGCACUCUGAUCUCAAUAUAACACAGGACUGUGCUAGAUUAGAAGGAAUGAAGACAAAAUGAAUUUAAAUAAAAUUGAAACUGACCAGCCAGGCUUUAUUCUCCCAACCUGAUGAAAACAACAAAGCAGGGGGAACAAAAACCCCACAGAUGAACCAAAAGAAGAAAUGAAAAUAAACUCCAAUAAAAUUUUAAACCUGAA